GAUUAGGUGGCUGAUAUAUAAGUGAUUGAUUGUAAAUCAAUUUAAGGGUUAUUUCCCCCCUAUUUA
RNAcentral lists this transfer RNA (66 nucleotides) under Thoradonta obtusilobata. RNAcentral's name for it is "tRNA-Tyr". Lineage: Eukaryota; Metazoa; Arthropoda; Insecta; Orthoptera; Tetrigidae. The record is from RNAcentral.